CCAAAGUAGUUGACAGAAAAUGUCCGUCUCUCAGCCUGCGAUGGUCGUUCGCUGUUUGCUCGUUGUGUGUGUGAGACGCUCCCUGUGGAGAGGUUUUCACUUUGGGAGCUAAAUUUAGAGAUCCCUCAACUCCGGUAAUGUGUACACGUUGCGUUUGUUUGAGGGGGCGACGAUACCUUGGAACUGUUCCCAUGGUGCUUUCUUCUGGCCGGAGUGGUUCCCGUAAACAGAAAUGUAUAUUACAAAAAACGACGAGGCGCCGUGGUUCUCAGAAAAUCCAGCGAACCGGAGGAAGGUGCAACCUCUCUGAAAUCGCGGCACGGAACACCCAGGGGAAGGUGAAAGGGGAGAGAUGAUGGUGACAGAGGCGAGCAUCCCUCAGUAGUCUUCAGUGGUACCCCAUCUGGGAGGAUAGCAAUUCCGGGUGCACGUGAAAGAACCUCCGACUGUUGAUGUUACCCGCCGGGACGUCCAGCUUGUCCCCCUUGAUUAUUAACCCAUCUUCAGUCAUUAGCAAUGGUGACAGCUCAUGCAUUUUAUACGGCUCAAUAAAGUUCUCGUGUAGCGAU
Ornithodoros turicata is the source of this 569-nucleotide long non-coding RNA. RefSeq lists it as uncharacterized. Lineage: Eukaryota; Metazoa; Arthropoda; Arachnida; Ixodida; Argasidae. The transcript has 2 exons. The record is from RefSeq and is a predicted model, not a curated record.